RNAcentral lists this long non-coding RNA (400 nucleotides) under Manihot esculenta (cassava). RNAcentral's name for it is "long non-coding RNA (MESC_LNC012594)". Lineage: Eukaryota; Viridiplantae; Streptophyta; Magnoliopsida; Malpighiales; Euphorbiaceae. The record is from RNAcentral.
CCUCAGAUGGAUCACACUCCGGUCCACUGACCCAGAGAAAACACGCUAAGCCCAGAAGUCAUCAAACCCAUCCUAUCAACAGCUCACAACAACAGGAAAAGCGAAACACUAGGGUCCAACACAACCAGCAUACACAUUCAAACGCCUCUAAGUGAACGUAUCUAACGUCACCACGUUCGAUGUGUUAGCCUCCUAUAGAAUCAGGGUGAUGAUCCAAGCCAAAGCUAAUGGAACCUUUCUCGGGAAUCUGCUGAAGAAAAGGCUCACCCUUUUCCUUGCCUCACUACCACCCAAUCCCAGACUAAUUCUAAUCUCUUUCUAAGAUCACUGUUACUUUUUCUUUUCCUCUUUUUCUUUUUCUGAUCUAUCUCUCUCAAUCCCACUAGGAUCCACAAAAGAA